This 497-nucleotide ribosomal RNA is filed under the name uncultured bacterium. RNAcentral's name for it is "partial 16S ribosomal RNA". It matches the Rfam family "Bacterial small subunit ribosomal RNA", at positions 28 to 507 of the family's 1533-position model. The record is from RNAcentral.
GAUGAACGCUGGCGGCGUGCCUAAUACAUGCAAGUCGAGCGAACGGACGAGAAGCUUGCUUCUCUGAUGUUAGCGGCGGACGGGUGAGUAAAACGUGGAUAACCUACCUAUAAGACUGGGAUAACUUCGGGAAACCGUAGCUAAUACCGGAUAAUAUUUUGAAACGCAUGGUUCAAAAGUGAAAGACGGUCUUGCUGUCACUUAUAGAUGGAUCCGCGCUGCAUUAGCUAGUUGGUAAGGUAACGGCUUACCAAGGCAACGAUGCAUAGCCGACCUGAGAGGGUGAUCGGCCACACUGGAACUGAGACACGGUCCAGACUCCUACGGGAGGCAGCAGUAGGGAAUCUUCCGCAAUGGGCGAAAGCCUGACGGAGCAACGCCGCGUGAGUGAUGAAGGUCUUCGGAUCGUAAAACUCUGUUAUUAGGGAAGAACAUAUGUGUAAGUAACUGUGCACAUCUUGACGGUACCUAAUCAGAAAGCCACGGCUAACUACGUG